Pseudophryne corroboree (corroboree frog) is the source of this 2213-nucleotide long non-coding RNA. RefSeq lists it as uncharacterized. The record is from RefSeq and is a predicted model, not a curated record. The transcript is spliced from 2 exons. NCBI's taxonomy places the organism in Eukaryota, Metazoa, Chordata, Amphibia, Anura, Myobatrachidae.
GCUAGCUGCAUUAUGUGUCAAGGCUCCAGUUGCCAUGGUAAUGAAAUGACACUUGUCAAACGAUAAGGCAUUAGUAGCUUGAAGACAAAAAAAAUUGAUGGAAAAAAGAAACCAUAUAUAAUUUAUCUAUAAGGCUCCAUGCAGUGUAUGCAGUGAUAUACAUGGUGAACAGAAAACAUUUCAAAAUAAUGGAAUAUCUGGGUAUAAAUGCAUUACACAACAAUAUAAUAACAUAGCAUACGUACCAAUCAUUUUAUAUUGCAUCACAGAUAAUCGGGGGAGGGCAACUUAUGCUAGCAGGAGUAACUGUUAUAAAUUGAUUUAGUACUUGGUGAUUCUGUACCCAACGUAUAGGCGAGCAGACCUUGUCAGUUGCUGAGUGGAUGGAGACAAGGCAUUUGAGUACUGGUGACUUGGAGUGAAGAACGAGCAGGAGGAAGGCAUUGCCCGAAAAGAACUCUCAUACUAAGAGAAAGGCAUGAACACUUGAAGGUUGAACUGGGAGAGACAUGAUGAAGGUGAUAAAGAUGGAAGCCAUAUUUGUUCAUAAGACUCCAUUUAUAAUUGACAUCUGACCAGCUGUUUCAAAUUGUUUUCAACUUAGAUCUGACACAGGAAAAAGUACAGACACUGCAUUUUGUUUGAACCCACAUUGUGAAGUUAUGACCUUUAUCUAAGAUAUAUUUUACGGUAAUUUCCUAGCAGAAAUAUAAUGUCAGCAGCUAGACAUGUGAGCUUCAAAGGGUAUUUGUCAGUUUGCGGUACAGCAGGUGUAAAAAUAUAACCAGACAUAUGUAGGUUUUGAGGUUAGCAAAAACCCCUAGUUAUUCCACUUAAGAGCACAUAUAAAAAAUAUAGACGUUGGCAAACAUAUUACGUAUAAGAUUGAAGUUUUAUUAGCCAAUAGGAUUAAGCUUCGUGUCAGGAAUCGACGACACAAUAUGUUAAUUGGUAUCACUUUAUAAUGUACUGCUGGUAGGAAAUAAAGCUCUCUCUCUCUCUGCUCUAUUACUUUCCACUUUAUACACGUGUGGCUAGUUAUUACAAAGGUUAUUUUGUUGACUGGUCACUGGCUGCAGCCGUGUAUGAACCUGAUGCUGACUGACUGAAUGCGUGCUUGAACUUGGUUAAGCAAAAGGUGCCCUUUCCUGGGGAUCCCUUUAUCAAUAUGGGGGUUCCGAAUCCGAGAUCCCACAUCACCUGUUGAACAGCGGACGACUGGGCGGACGGUUCCUGGACUGAGACUCAAAAUCCAUGCAUGGCAUUGCUGAAACUGCUAAACCGCAACCAAUUUAUAUGAAACUUAUUGGAGGAGCUAUAAUAUACAAUUCCACAUUCUUCUACUGUGAGACCUGCCAUACCAGAUACACAGAAGCUUCCAGCUGUCCCUACUGUUAUGAUGACGUAAUCUAAUGAACUUUGCUGUCACAAUAUUGAGUCAAAAAGACUUUCAAGGACUAUUGAGCAAGGACUAUGAACAUUAUAAUGAUUCCAUCGUCAAAAGACUCCUCUGCUUUAAGAACUUUCUCUUGUGGUUAGGGAUAAGAGAAUAGGGAACAUUGGUUCUGCCCGAGUAUAGGGAUGUUGAAUGGACUAGCCCAUGCCUGGAGUGCCCUUAUGGUACACCAGUCGUGAAAGUAGGUGUCCCUAUAGAAUCAAUGACCAGGUAAAGGAAGGGUAAAUUAAAGGUAAAAAUUAGAAACAAAGAGGGGAAGUUGAUAAAGAUGGAAGCCAUAUUUGUUCAUAAGACUCCAUUUAUAAUUGACAUCUGACAAGCUGUUUCAAAUUGUUUUCAACUUAGAUCUGACACAGGAAAAAGUACAGACACUGUAUUUUGUUUGAACCUACAUUGUGAAGUUAUGACCUUUAUCUAAGAUAUAUUUUACGGUAAUUUCCUAGCAGAAAUAUAAUGUCAGCAGCUAGACAUGUGAGCUUCAAAGGGUAUUUGUCAGUUUGCGGUACAGCAGGUGUAAAAAUAUAACCAGACAUAUGUAGGUUUUGAGGUUAGCAAAAACCCCUAGUUAUUCCACUUAAGAGCACAUAUAAAAAUAUAGACGUUGGCAAACAUAUUACGUAUAAGAUUGAAAUUUUAUUAGCCAAUAGGAUUAAGCUUCGUGUCAGGAAUCGACGACACAAUAUGUUAAUUGGUAUCACUUUAUAAUGUACUGCUGGUAGGAAAUAAAGCUCUCUCUGCUCUAUUACUUUCCACUUUA